AGGGCACCACCAGGAGUGGAGCCUGCGGCUUAAUUUGACUCAACACGGGAAAACUUACCCGGCCCGGACACUGGAAGGAUUGACAGAUUGAGAGCUCUUUCUUGAUUCAGUGGGUGGUGGUGCAUGGCCGUUCUUAGUUGGUGGAGCGAUUUGUCUGGUUAAUUCCGAUAACGAACGAGACUCUAGCCUACUAAAUAGACUACCGUUCCUUUGUGACGGUAGGACUUCUUAGAGGGACAGGCGGCGACUCAGCCGCACGAAACAGAGCAAUAACAGGUCUGUGAUGCCCUUAGAUGUCCGGGGCCGCACGCGCGCUACACUGAAGUGAUCAGCGUGCGUUAAUAACCCUCUCUGUCAAGAGUGGGUAACCCAUUGAACCUUCUUCGUGAUUGGGAUAGGGUAUUGUAAUUCUUACCCUUGAACGAGGAAUUCCCAGUAAGCGCGAGUCAUAAGCUUGCGUUGAUUACGUCCCUGCCCUUUGUACACACCGCCCGUCGCUACUACCGAUUGAAUGAUUUA
This 519-nucleotide ribosomal RNA is filed under the name uncultured eukaryote. Its description in RNAcentral is "SSU rRNA". It matches the Rfam family "Eukaryotic small subunit ribosomal RNA", at positions 1161 to 1700 of the family's 1831-position model. The record is from RNAcentral.